This is a long non-coding RNA of Nannospalax galili (Upper Galilee mountains blind mole rat), 473 nucleotides long. RefSeq lists it as uncharacterized. Lineage: Eukaryota; Metazoa; Chordata; Mammalia; Rodentia; Spalacidae. The transcript has 3 exons. The record is from RefSeq and is a predicted model, not a curated record.
GUGCCUGAGGAGACCAGAGGCUUUGAAUCAUCUGGAGUCAUAGACAAAUAGGUGUGCCUGGUCCUGCCUGGUCUGACUCACACUCAGGCUCUGACCACAGACGUGCCCUACCCUACCUGACCUGGCCCUAAUGCCUGGACUUCUUGUUCUGUCUGAUGUCUCAUAGAGCAUCUCUUCUCCUCUUCAACAAGACAAUCCUUCAGAUUAACUGAAGUGGAAAUGCUCACUUUAGUGGCAGGCAGCCCCAUUCCUUGGACUGGACUCCUGGACUGUAUAAAAAGAAGGAAGCCAGCUGAGCACCAACCUUGUCUCUGCUUCUUGACUGCAUGGAUAUGGGAUGGGAUAUGACCAGCUACCUCAAGCACCUGCUGCCAUGCAACCCCCACUAUAAUGGACUGAAUGUCAGCUAAAAUAAACCCUUCCUUAAGCUGCUUUUAUCAGAGUAUUUAUCACAGCAAGACAAAAAUAACUAA